RNAcentral lists this ribosomal RNA (514 nucleotides) under uncultured bacterium. RNAcentral's name for it is "partial 16S ribosomal RNA". It matches the Rfam family "Bacterial small subunit ribosomal RNA", at positions 28 to 523 of the family's 1533-position model. The record is from RNAcentral.
GACGAACGCUGGCGGCAUGCCUAAUACAUGCAAGUCGAGCGAACAGAUGAGAAGCUUGCUUCUCUGAUGUUAGCGGCGGACGGGUGAGUAACACGUGGGUAACCUACCUAUAAGACUGGGAUAACUCCGGGAAACCGGGGCUAAUACCGGAUAAUAUUUUGAACCGCAUGGUUCAAUAGUGAAAGACGGUUUCGGCUGUCACUUAUAGAUGGACCCGCGUCGUAUUAGCUAGUUGGUAAGGUAACGGCUUACCAAGGCGACGAUACGUAGCCGGCCUGAGAGGGUGAUCGGCCACACUGGAACUGAGACACGGUCCAGACUCCUACGGGAGGCAGCAGUAGGGAAUCUUCCGCAAUGGGCGAAAGCCUGACGGAGCAACGCCGCGUGAGUGAUGAAGGUCUUCGGAUCGUAAAACUCUGUUGUUAGGGAAGAACAAAUUUGUUAGUAACUGAACAAGUCUUGACGGUACCUAACCAGAAAGCCACGGCUAACUACGUGCCAGCCGCCGCAGUAA